This 74-nucleotide transfer RNA is filed under the name Bacillota bacterium. Its description in RNAcentral is "tRNA-Gln". It matches the Rfam family "tRNA". Rfam says of the family: Transfer RNA (tRNA) molecules are approximately 80 nucleotides in length. The record is from RNAcentral. Lineage: Bacteria; Bacillati; Bacillota.
UGGGGAGUGGCCAAGUGGUAAGGCAGAGGACUUUGGAUCCUCGAUCGUAGGUUCGAUCCCUACCUCCCCAGCCA